AUGGUGAAGGAACCACGGAGUUUCUCUGAGCACCUAAGAUUACUCUGCUUCAAGGAACUCCUGAGUGUGUGGACAGAAAAUAUCUCUGAGGGAUUCCCAGGAGCGACUCCAGUGAAAGACCAAGAGAAACCUAAAAGCCUCCCAAGAAUGAAGUCACCACGGGAGCAAAGCAGGCAGCUGAGUGAACUCUGGAGCUCUAAUGUACUGUCUUUUGCAGACAACAGCGCUUCGGUGUUAAAGCCACAAGACCAAGAGCAGACACAGCAUCCAGAAGAAAACCUCUAUUGGCAAGCACAAGACAGUGAUCACAGAUGUGGCCCCAGACGAUGGAAGGACAGGAGUGCAGCACGCUGAAAUGGAAUACUGCACGCCUGCAAUCGCCUUUCCCUCUGGUAUUUAAUGAGAAAUAAAAAGCACAUGUGAAGGUUUUGUGAUCAUUUUAUUUAUGUGUUAAAAAUACUAUAGGUAACUCUUUUGGAAUGUCCUGUUCUCUCUAACAUAAGUGGAUAUUUGAAAAAUAUUUGGUUAGAAAAAUUAAAAUAACCUAAAUUUAAAAUCCAUGCACAAGAAUGACAAAUACGAACAUGCUAGUGGUUAAAAGCAAAACAAAACUAAAAUAGAAUUUCUCUCAGAAAUAAACCAUCUCCACUGCAUGCUUUAGAAAGAAAAUGUAGACUCCUCAGUUAUGGCGCAUCUGAGUAUGCAAAGAAUAUAUUUCCCCACUUCCCCCAUCCAGAUCUCUCAUUUCAAAUCCCAGGCGUGUUCAUUCAAUUCCACACUCUCUGCUCACACUGCUGAAAAAUGCUUGGGUGUUUUGUGCAAAUUCAAAGCUAAAUAGGAAAGAGACAGAAAAAGAUUUAGAGGCAUAAUAAUCUUGAAAGAAAAUAGUUCUGUAUCAUGUUUGUCAGUUAGUGGGUGAAAAAGUGAUUUAUUUAGGAAGUUUUAAUUGAAUAAGAACCUUUAAAAUGUCAUCUUUCUUCAAAGAAAUAUUUGUACAUAUCAGAUAAGGAAAAUAUAGAAUGUUCUUGCUAACUCCUUGAAAAGAGCCAGAUCAUUUGGGCUAUGUAGUAAAUGGAGGAUUCUGAGUGUAGCCCAGUGCUUUCCUUGGAACCUCUGGCAAUUAACUUUCUAGCUAGGUGUCAAGUUUUAUAAACUGCUAAGUGACCAGGCAGACAGACUGGCUCUACAAGGUAAUGUUUCCAAUUUGACUCAUGCUUAUGGUCUUUGACCUUAAAAGUCAUUUGCAGUCCAAGUGACCCAGACAUUCUUUCUUAAAGCUGGUAUACGGAGGGAUCAGCUUAGACUUUUGGAUUUUGGUUGACUUUUUGCAUUGCUGUCCACAGACUUGGGGCAGCAGGAGAUACCUGUUAUAGGGAAGAAGGAAGAAAGGAAGAGAAAAGAAAAGGAAAAGAAAGGACCAAAAUACGUCUCCUGGAAGCAAAAUAUAUCCCAAACUUGAAAGAGGAGUCAUAACUUAAGUCAAAAGCAUGAAAUGUGUUAUAAGGAGGUCUUUUCCUUAAAACAAAUAUAUUACUAAAAGAGUAAACAGCGGUAAGCUGUAAAUCAUAAUCUUUUGCCUAAUGCAUUCCUAAAGUUUCAUCCUGAGAGCAAACACCAGUGAGAAAUGGACACUCAGGAACCCAGAUAACUCAAAAGUUGGAAGGAAGCUGUCUGCAGUCAUUUUCAUUAAAGAGAUAAGAUCACCUGGCCCUCUUCAGUAGCUUUUACACUUAAUGUCCCUCCCUCUUGACUCUUAAAACUAUAAACUGAGAAGAAAAAACCCAGCUUUGCGCCGCAACCCUAGGAAUUUAAGCAAAGACAGGGUAGGGAACAAUAAAAAUAUUCAUGGCCAUUAUGAAGAUUUACCAUAACAUUCAUUAUGCUUUCUUGGUGGAAUUAGUUUCCCAUGGCCUCCUUUCUUCAACCAAGGAAAAAAUAUGCCUUCCAAAUUCCACUUUUUUGUUCCUUCUUGAGCCAAAAAUAUAAUCUAUAUUUGCUUAAAAUAGGCUUCUGGAAAGUGAAAGAGCCUUUAUCUGCCUGUGAGAAAUGGAAUUAACUGAAAACCAAAUGGAAACUUUGGUAGGAAUACUAUGGUGAAUGGUUAAAUAUUUACAAUAUAAGAACCAGUUCAUUUGAAAACAAAUGUACAAGUGCCUGGCUUCCUUCCCUGCCUUAGGAGUCAAGAAUGUUCCGUUGCUGAGAAGCGCCAUUUUAUUGACAUUCAAGUAAAAGAUGUGGUUCCGCUCCAUCUUGUCCCUUCUCCCUCACCCAAACAGUAGUGUCCUCCUAAGAGAGACCCUCACCCCUUCCCAUAUAUGAGGACACAGUGAGCAGAUGCCAUCUGUGAGCCAGAAGUGGGUCCUUAGGAGACACAGAAACUACUGGCAUUUUGACCUUGGACUUCCAGCCUCCAGAAUGGUGAGGGAAAGAUAUUGAAGAGGAGUUGGACACCCUGAGAGUGCAGCUGUUCUCCCGCCGCACCAUCCCUGUCCUGCAUUCUGCGAGUCUUUGCUCAUCAACCAUGUGCUGGAACCAUGUGGCUCAGCAGUCCUACUGCUGGGUAUGUACCCAAAAGAAAGGAAAAGGAAACCAGUAUAUUGAAGAGAUAUCUGCACCCCCAUAUCUACUGCAGCACUGUUCACAACAGCCAAGAUUUGGAAGCAUCCUAAGUGUCCAUCAACAGAUGAAUGGAUAAAGAAAAUGUGGUACAUAAAAACAUGGUACAUAAACACAAUGGAGUACUCCAGCCUUUAAAAAAAUGAGAUUCUGUCAUUUGCAAUAAUAUAGAUGGGACUGGAGGCCCUUAUGUUAAGUGAAAUAAGCCAGGCACAGAAAGACAAACAUCACAUGUUCUCACUUAUUUGUGGGAUCUAACGAUCAAAACAAUUGAACUUCUGGACAUAGAAUGGAAGGCUGAUUACCAGAAGCUGGAAUGGGUAGUGGGGUUGGGGGGAAGGUGGGAAUGAUUAAUGGGUACAAAAAAAUACAAAGAAUAAAUAAGACCUAAUCUUUGAUAGCAAAAAAAAAAAAAAAAAAAAAGAUGUGGUUCCAGGAAAAGAAGGUAAGACUGAAUACAAGAGCUAUGGUUCUGCAAACUAGUAUUGUACCAGAUGAGUCCAUUCUGAUGAGGUUGUCCUUUAAAGACAAAUUCACAAAGAAAAAGUGCCUAGGGGAAAAUGUGUAAUUCUGACAUCAAGCAUAGGAGUGCCUCUAGCACAACUAAGUGUAGUCGUCCAAUUUCCCAAAACUAAAUGGGAUAUAAAGAAUGGAAGAACAUUCAGCCAUGUGCAAUCCCAGUACUUUAGGAGGCCGAGGCGGGUGGAUUGCCUGAGGUCAGGAGUUCAAGACCAGCCUGCCCAGCAUGGUGAAACCCCGACUCUACUAAAAAUAUAAAAAUUAGCCAGGCGUGGUAGCAGGUGCCUGUAAUCCCAGCUACUCGGGAAGCUGAGGCAGGAGAAUCCCUUGCCCGGGGAGGCAGAGGUUGCCGUGAGCCGGAGAUCGCACCGUUGCACACAAGCCUGGGUAACAGAGCAGAGAGACUUCGUCUCAAAAAGAACAUUCAAACUGUCACAGACCUAAAGGAAACACUGGAACUAUGUUCUUUAGGCUAUUGGGACCUAUAUCUCAUGCUGAAUAUGCAGUUCUGAAACAAGCAGCACAAACACUUACUCCAUAUUAGUUCAGAUGUUAACACACUGAUUCAUUUCACACACUUCUUUGUAAUUUCUGCUUUGUUUCUGAGGCACAGCCCAACUUUGAAAAUAUCAGGACAACUACUCUUUAUAAAAAUGUGACAGAGGGUCUGUCUGUUCCCUAAGGUGGAAGGAAAAGGAAAGAAUGACGGUGAGAAAAUCAAGCUUCACCCAAACCACUGCACAAAUAAAUAAAUAACCUCCAAGGCUCAAUAGCCCAAGUUUGCUUUGGUGCAAAGGUGGUGGUUUGGGAACUAGAAAAGUGUGUAAAAUAAUUCCUAUCAGCAAUCCUUCUUUGUACUGUUUGUGUUUUCUCUUAAUCAGCGUUAGUCCAGCCUCUCUGAAGGGACGUGUUGGGCCUGCCAGGCUAAUGUACCAGGUGACUCUGCAGCUCCUGACAGGGUUUCUGGAACAGUCUGAUGAUCACUUGAGCUAGUCAUUUGGUAACUUCCUGUGGCAGGUGUUGGCCCAGUGUGAGGCCCUCUGCAGUGCUGAGACUCUGUCCUUGACUGACGGGAGGCUUUUUUUUUUUUUUUUUUUAAAUACUCGGCAAUAAAAGGCUCUUGGAGGUAGAAAUGAAAAAUCAAUGGAGAAAACCACAAAAAUCCCACCCAAACCAGCUUCACUUUUCUAGACUCUUUCUGUUAUAAGGGCUGCUUCAGGUUUCCACAUUUCCCUGGAGGGCAGGAUGCUUAAGGGUUUUAAUCCUAGUCCCUUCAAAUCACAUAAUGGUGCUGAUAAGGUGCUUUCUCCUGCUGACCCAGGGAAAAGUGGCCCUUCAUCCUUUCGUCUGUUCUGGGUAGAAGUGACUGUUGAAUGAUUUAAAAGAGUCAUUAAAGAGUGGAGAAAUGCAUCCUCACUACGAUGAAAGACUGACAGUUACAUAGGAAGACGGUCAUGGGGUUCCUCGCCCUGGUUACCCUACGUCCCCAUCUUCUCACUGCCUCUAGAGCUGGACAUUGCCACACAGUCCCCUGCCCUUUCAGCCUCUGCCUCCCCGUUCUCCACUCACAUUUCUUAAUCCCCUGUAGUCGGGCUUUCAAGUUUGUCCAAAUGGCUCCACCUCAAUUGCCAUCUGCCUGCCUUUUCUCAGUGUCCACACACUCCCUUGCUGUUGGCAUUGCCAACCAUUCCCUCCAUCUAAAACUUUCUUCCCUUGGGCUCUGAAACAGUGUGUUCUUAUUAGUCCUCCACCUGUCACUUGUGCUAGGUUUACUUCUUCCUCUAAGUACCAAGGUACCAGCCCUCCUCUCCUGGGCACUUCUGCUCUCACCCUCAGGGAU
RNAcentral lists this long non-coding RNA (4975 nucleotides) under Macaca fascicularis (crab-eating macaque). RNAcentral's name for it is "lncRNA (ENSMFAG00000057568.1)". Lineage: Eukaryota; Metazoa; Chordata; Mammalia; Primates; Cercopithecidae. The record is from RNAcentral.